Molecule: ribosomal RNA, 301 nt
Filed under: uncultured bacterium
Lineage: Bacteria
Description: partial 16S ribosomal RNA
Rfam family: Bacterial small subunit ribosomal RNA
Source: RNAcentral
CAGCCGCCGCGGGAAUACGUAGGGUGCAUGCGUUAAUCGGAAUUACUAGGCGUAAAGCGUGCGCAGGCGGUUAUAUAAGACAGAUGUGAAAUCCCCGGGCUCAACCUGGGAACUGCAUUUGUGACUGUAUAGCUAGAGUACGGCAGAGGGGGAUGGAAUUCCGCGUGUAGCAGUGAAAUGCGUAGAUAUGCGGAGGAACACCGAUGGCGAAGGCAAUCCCCUGGGCCUGUACUGACGCUCAUGCACGAAAGCGUGGGGAGCAAACAGGAUUAGAUACCCGUGUAGUCCCUGUCUCUUAUAC